GAAGGUAAAAAGGUCCUACAUUGUUGUGUCAGAUGAAGGAACAUGCCAUGUCCUUUUAUAGCUCAGAAAAAAUGCACAAAUAAACAGUUGGUAUUACAUGAUUUCCAUCGACUUUGUUGGGAUUUGCUUCUUUUCAUGAUUUUACAAGUCGACAAACAAUGAUUAUGUGCUCAAGGAACUUGAAAACAUGAAGGAACAACGGCUUGCACAUAUAAAUAUGCUAUGCCAUACUAGAUAUGCAUAAAUGUCACCACAAAGAAAUCAACUAUUUCUAUUGCAAAAGCAAGCUAAAAGAGCUAAAUCAAAAAGGCGGUGUCUCUUGUAGAAUUCAAAUAAUACACUAUCUUUGUCACAAGUUCAGAGUCAUGACAAAAAUCAAAGUGUGGUUUGAACUUCUGAUCCUUCAUCAGCUAGAGAUAAAGAUACACUGCAUAUGAAAAAUGGAGUCUUGAUUCUCAAAGUAAAAUUGAAAUUGGCUUCACGACAAAACUCAUAAAGAUCUUGAUAAUUCACAGUCUCAGUUGCGAAGAGCAAAAAAUAUAACUAUUUUGUAAAUUUAACAUCGCUUGCAAUUCGAUCCGUGAGAUACUGGCUUGCUGUUAACCUACCCAAUGUCCAUGUUAUCGUGCACAUUAUAGACAAAUAAAAGGUGCUCAUACUUUGAUCAUUAGAAAUUAUAGGUAUCUACACAUCUGGCGCUAAAAGAGUUUUGCAUCUCAAGCGUGGUUGCACUUCUCUUCACAUGUGACUUCCCACAGGGGAUCAUUGCCCUUUGAUGAAAAACAAUGGUGCUUGAGGAUUAUUUGUGUGUUAGUGGAGUCAUCCUUUCAAUCUUCUUAAUUUUUUUCAUUUUCUAGGGAGCUAUGCUUCAAUACGUUGAGAGCUUGAUCUCUAAAACUCCAAGAAGUUUGAUCUACAAUGAUUGAUUUCAACUUUAUCACUGGACUGUAAAUUGCAAGGGAGGAUAACUUUACAAGUUGCAUCUAAGACCCUUAACUAUUGGAUGGACAAUUUUAUUAGUCAGUGUUAGGUUAAUUUUGUUCCAAUGAAGGUAUUCUUAAGGGUAAACUUUUAUGUACUUAGUU
Molecule: long non-coding RNA, 1085 nt
Organism: Solanum stenotomum
Lineage: Eukaryota; Viridiplantae; Streptophyta; Magnoliopsida; Solanales; Solanaceae
Exons: 6
Source: RefSeq, a predicted model, not a curated record